AUUGAACGCUGGCGGCAGGCCUAACACAUGCAAGUCGAGCGGAUGAAGGGAGCUUGCUCCUGGAUUCAGCGGCGGACGGGUGAGUAAUGCCUAGGAAUCUGCCUGGUAGUGGGGGAUAACGUCCGCAAACGGGCGCUAAUACCGCAUACGUCCUGAGGGAGAAAGUGGGGGAUCUUCGGACCUCACGCUAUCAGAUGAGCCUAGGUCGGAUUAGCUAGUUGGUGGGGUAAAGGCCUACCAAGGCGACGAUCCGUAACUGGUCUGAGAGGAUGAUCAGUCACACUGGAACUGAGACACGGUCCAGACUCCUACGGGAGGCAGCAGUGGGGAAUAUUGGACAAUGGGCGAAAGCCUGAUCCAGCCAUGCCGCGUGUGUGAAGAAGGUCUUCGGAUUGUAAAGCACUUUAAGUUGGGAGGAAGGGCAGUAAGUUAAUACCUUGCUGUUUUGACGGUACCAACAGAAUAAGCACCGGCUAACUUCGUG
This 484-nucleotide ribosomal RNA is filed under the name uncultured bacterium. Its description in RNAcentral is "partial 16S ribosomal RNA". It matches the Rfam family "Bacterial small subunit ribosomal RNA", at positions 30 to 507 of the family's 1533-position model. The record is from RNAcentral.